GGUCAUAUAUGUAUGUUCCCUGGAAAUUUAUCAGUUUGUGAUGAAUUUAGUGUCUGUUGUAUAUAAACUUCAAUAAUACAAAAAUUGUAUUCUUUGACACAGUUGUUCAAGUUUUUUAUAUUUAAUUGUCUGAAAAUGUUUGGGGAAAUAGAAUUUUUACUAGGUUCUGCACAAACAAAGCAUUAUUUUUCAAAAUCACUCAUUGGGUUUACAGCCGACCCAUUGAAACAAUACGAAAACAUUUAAUGUAGUAACACUUUAGUGCUGUGCGUUAGUCUUCCAUUAAAGGUUUUCACUCAACUUUAGGAAGGAAGCUAAGCAAAAUCAAUUGCUUGCUUGGGUUAAUAACAGUGAACGUCAAAUAACGUGAACAACCGAUUACGGACAUCGUGUGAACUGCAAGCAGAGAACUCGACGCCAGUUUUCUAUGGAUGCAUUUCACCCCAGAUUUCGAUGAGCCCUGUUCACCACAUUUUAACAGAGAGCUAGCAGAAUUGUGC
Long non-coding RNA from Ceratitis capitata (Mediterranean fruit fly), 500 nucleotides. RefSeq lists it as uncharacterized. The transcript is spliced from 3 exons. Lineage: Eukaryota; Metazoa; Arthropoda; Insecta; Diptera; Tephritidae. The record is from RefSeq and is a predicted model, not a curated record.